AAAAAAAUCCUAAAAAUCUAAAUUACUAAAUCUAAAGUAAAACUAAUUAAUCUAACUAUAUAUUGAUGGCUUAACUAGACAAAGACUAAUUAUUUCGAGGGACUUUAAAACACAGAGAUAGGUUCAGUGAGAAGCCAACUGUAAGACAAGGAUUUCAGUGCAAUUAACAACAGUAAGGAGUGGUGAAGCCAGUCAAUAAAGGGCAUGUUAUCAAGCCCACUACCACUGCGCGCGACUGCAGCUGAAUACAGUUGGGAAACUGGGAAAUAGUACCGGAUGUGGGCAAUUUAUCAGAGUCAACAACCUGGUUUUUUCAGCAAAUAAAUGGCAAGAGAACAAAGAGGAAGUGGAACUCCUUUAGAUUAAUAGAGGUUUAAAAGGCAUCAACAAAAUGUAACAUAUGGCUUUAAUUUGCAUCCUCAUUCAAACAAACCAACUGUAAAGUUAUAUUUAUGAGACAAGCAG
This 465-nucleotide long non-coding RNA is filed under the name Homo sapiens (human). RNAcentral describes it as "LHRI_LNC615.1". Lineage: Eukaryota; Metazoa; Chordata; Mammalia; Primates; Hominidae. The record is from RNAcentral.